AGCAAUAAAAAGAAAUGAACCAUUGAUUCACACAACAACUUGAAUAAAUUUCAAAGGCACUGAGGAAGUGAGAUGAAACUAUCCUACCUACACUUGUUACAGCCACAGAGAAACCCAAAGCUGGAAGACUAUUGGCUGCUGGAAUUGAAGGGAAAUUUACCACAGAGAGAGGCAGGAGAAAAUCAGCCUGUGGAAAGAGGCAGAAGACACUGUGGUUCUGUCGGUACAGACACCAAAUUCUCCUUAUUGAAGCAAACCCUGUAACCAGUCUGGAUCUCCUUCAGAAGAUGGUCUAUACAUUUAUAUUACAGGUAUUUACACCCUGCAGCUAACUUAUUAUUUAAUAUUUAUUUAUUUUUGAUUGAUUGAUGAUUGGUUUACAAUAUGGGUUUGAUUUGGCAUGUAUCAGCAUGAAUUAAUCAUAGCUGUACAUAUGUCUCCUCCCUCUUGAAUCUCCCUCCUUCAAUUCACUUUUUUUUUUUACUCAAUAAUGUAUCUUGAAGUAAUUAUGUAACAUUACUUAUAGAGCUACUUCAUAUUUUAUGAAGUUGAAGAUAUAGUAUUCCACUGUAUGACAAAACUAUAGCUAUUAAAUAGCUAUAACUAUUUAAUUCAGUUCAGUUCAGUCAUUCAGUCAUGUCUGACUCUUUGCGACCCCA
Molecule: long non-coding RNA, 659 nt
Filed under: Capra hircus (goat)
Lineage: Eukaryota; Metazoa; Chordata; Mammalia; Artiodactyla; Bovidae
Description: lncRNA (ENSCHIG00010017537.1)
Source: RNAcentral